UACGUAGGGGGCGAGCGUUGUCCGGAGUUACUGGGCGGAAAGGGCAUGCAGGCGGUCGGACGCGUUUCGGGUGACAGCGGGUGGCUUAACUACCCGAGUGGUCGAAAGACGGUUUGACUUGAGGACGCGAGAGGGACACGGAAUUCCGGGUGGAGUGGUGAAAUGCGUAGAGAUCCGGAGGAACACCGAAGGCGAAGGCAGUGUCCUGGCGCGUAACUGACGCUGAGGUGCGAAAGCCAGGGGAGCGAACGGG
RNAcentral lists this ribosomal RNA (253 nucleotides) under uncultured bacterium. RNAcentral describes it as "partial 16S ribosomal RNA". It matches the Rfam family "Bacterial small subunit ribosomal RNA", at positions 524 to 776 of the family's 1533-position model. The record is from RNAcentral.